RNAcentral lists this long non-coding RNA (285 nucleotides) under Eutrema salsugineum. RNAcentral's name for it is "long non-coding RNA (ESAL_LNC002009)". The record is from RNAcentral. Lineage: Eukaryota; Viridiplantae; Streptophyta; Magnoliopsida; Brassicales; Brassicaceae.
AUGACUUGCUCUCCAUGCAACGGAACAGGAGAGACUUCAAAGCCAUGCAACGCUUGCUCAGGAGAUGGACGUGUGAGAAGGACGAAAAGGAUUAGUCUCAAAGUUCCUGCAGGUGUGGAUUCAGGUAGUAGGUUAAGAGUAAGAGGAGAAGGGAACGCAGGGAAGAGAGGAGGAUCACCUGGAGAUCUUUUUGCGGUUAUUGAGGUGAUUCCGGAUCCGAUUCUGAAGCGGGAUGAUACGAAUAUUCUUUAUACGUGUAAGAUAUCGUAUGUAGAUGCGAUCUUG